RNAcentral lists this ribosomal RNA (301 nucleotides) under uncultured bacterium. RNAcentral's name for it is "partial 16S ribosomal RNA". It matches the Rfam family "Archaeal small subunit ribosomal RNA", at positions 459 to 759 of the family's 1478-position model. The record is from RNAcentral.
CAGUAGCCGCGGUAAAACCAGCAGCCCAAGUGGUGGUCGCGUUUAUUGGGCCUAAAGCGCUCGUAGCCUGGCCGGUAAGUUCCCCGUGAAAUCGGGUCGCCCAACGAUUCGGCUCGCGGGGAAUACUGUCGGUCUUGGGGCCGGGAGACGCCGAGGGUACUCCGGGGGUAGCGGUGAAAUGCUGUAAUCCUCGGGGGACUACCAGUGGCGAAGGCGCUCGGCGAUAACGGGCCUGACGGUGAGGGGCGAAAGCUGGGGGCGCGAACGGGAUUAGAUACCCGUGUAGUCCCUGUCUCUUAUA